CCUACGGGAGGCAGCAGUGGGGAAUCUUGCGCAAUGGGCGAAAGCCCGACGCAGCAACGCCGCGUGCGGGAUGAAGGCCUUCGGGCUGUAAACCGCUUUCAGCAGGAACGAAAAAUGACGGUACCUGCAGAAGAAGGAGCGGCCAACUACGUGCCAGCAGCCGCGGUGACACGUAGGCUCCAAGCGUUGUCCGGAUUUAUUGGGCGUAAAGAGCUCGUAGGCGGUCUAAUAAGUCGGGUGUGAAAACUCUGGGCUCAACCCGGAGACGCCAUCCGAUACUGUUAUGACUUGAGUUCAGGAGGGGAGCGGGGAAUUCCUAGUGUAGCGGUGAAAUGCGCAGAUAUUAGGAGGAACACCGGUGGCGAAGGCGCCGCUCUGGACUGAAACUGACGCUGAGGAGCGAAAGCAUGGGUAGCAAACAGGAUUAGAUACCCUGGUAGUCCAUGCCGUAAACGGUGGGCACUAGGUGUGGGUUUCAACUACGAAAUCCGCGCCGUGCUAACGCAUUAAGUGCCCGCCUGGGGAGUCGGCGCAAGCUAAACUUAAAGGAAUUGACCGGNNGAGAGNGCGACGACGACGACGAGGAGAG
Molecule: ribosomal RNA, 589 nt
Filed under: uncultured bacterium
Lineage: Bacteria
Description: bacterial SSU rRNA
Rfam family: Bacterial small subunit ribosomal RNA
Source: RNAcentral